UGUGUUUGUGAAUUCAUCUCUUGAUUGCAAAAAUGUUGUCAUUGUUCUCAUUCUCACUCUCACGAAUCAUGUUAAGGUACUCUCCUUAUUCUGUUCCCCACUCCGCUUUCCGUCUUUGCUUGCCUUCAACUUCAUCCCUACACUCUCACUCUCACUCUCAGUCCCACUCACAUGAUAAAGAUGUUGAUUUCUUCACUCGCUUGCUCUCUAUCUCUAUGCGUCCUUCUCCAUCCAUCAACUCCUUUAACAUGAUUUUGGGGGCUUUUGCCAAGAGAAACGAUUUCCCCACCGCCAUUCUCCUUUUUCAGAAAUUGCAAGCCAGGGGAAUCGCUCCCGACUUGUUUACUUUGAACAUCUUAAUCAAUUGUUGUUCCAGCAUGGGUCGUAUGAAGCUUGCUUUCUCUGGGUUGGCCAAGAUUCUCACGAUGGGUUAUCAACCUGAUACGGUAACAUUGACAACAAUCCUGAGAGGUCUCUGUCUCUGUGGUAAUGUUGAGAAAGCACUACACUUUCAUGAUAGAGUCCUGGCUUUAGGAUUUCAGUUUAAUAAAGUUACUUAUGGGACCUUGAUUAAGGUACUCUGUAACACCGGAUACAGAUCAGCUGCUAUUCAAGUGUUGAGAAAGACCCUACCAUUGCUUGGGAUUAUUCCUAAUGUCAUCAUGUACAGCGCAAUUAUUGAUAGCCUGUGCACGGAAAACCUUGUAGCUGAUGCUUUUUAUUUAUUCUCUGAAAUGCUUGCUGAGGGAAUUACUCCCGAUGUUCAAAGUUACAAUAUCAUGAUUAAUGGCUUCUGCAAAAGUAAAAUGCUAGAUGAAGCCUUGAUUCUCUUUGAAGAAAUGCUUCGUAAGUAUUUGGUUCCAAACACGGUAACUUACACCACUCUUAUUGAUAGCUUGUGCAAAUCAAAGAGAAUCUCUUGUGCUUUGGAGCUUUUAGUCAAGAUGCAUGAUAGAGGUCAACCCGCUAAUGUAGUCACUUACAAUUCCUUGUUGAAUGGGAUGUUCAAAAACCAACAACUUGACAAGGCACUUAAAUUAUUCUCUCAAAUGAAAGAGAGUGGCAUUGAUCUAAAUAUAGGCACUUACAGUAUACUUAUUGAUGGCCUAUGUAAAGGUGGAAGACUUUCAGAUGCAAGAGCGAUUUUCCAAGAUCUUUCUGCUAAAGGCUGUCCUCCAAAUGUGAGGACAUACAAUAUUAUGAUCAAUGGACUCUGCAAAGAGGGCCUGUUUAAAGAAGCAUUGACCCUGCUGUUGGAAAUGGAACACAAUGGUUGCUUACCAAAUGCUGUGACUUUUCUAACUCUUAUUCAUGCUUACUUUGAAAAAGAUGAGAAUGACAUGGCGGGAAAACUUCUUCAAGAAAUGAUUGCUAGAGGCUUAUUGAAUUGAUAAAAGAAGGUAAGAUACAUCAACUGAAAUUGAAAUUACAUCUCUAUUGUUGCUGAAUAUUAUCAAUUAAUUUUGCACUUUCGAUUUUUGCAAUUGCUAUCAUCCUUUUUAAUUCCACUGCUUUGUUGAUUCUUUUGAUGAUAUUCCUAGUUAUAGCUUACAGGUUUAGUGUUUAAGAUCUCUUUAUAGCAAUUGAGUGUUCUUUACUGUUAUUCUAUAAGAUGAUAUAUUUAUCAUGCUAAGCAAAACUAAAAAGAUUGAAAAUUUUGUUUUGUUGUUUGUUCUCUGCUAUUCUGCUGUGCAACUUAUCUUUCCUUAUCUUUGUAGGAACCGUGUGUAUAUAUAUAUAUAUAUCAAACCAAUUCCUGACUGUUUUAUCAUAAGCAACCAUGAACUAUUGUAUAUUUGAUUGAAUCCUCCAGGAAUUGUCAUUAAAGGAAAAUUAAGUAGGUAUCGAGGAUUUAUUCUUAGGCUUUAUGGUUUUCAUUUCCAUCUUAAAAAUAAACCCACCUUCUAAAAUGCAUGUCCCUUCUUUUCAUCAGCCUAAGCAACAUCGAGUUAAGGUUAAUAUGGUUCAGUUAUCUCAAAAUUUUUUACCAUUUUCUUAAUGAAUU
Molecule: non-coding RNA, 2005 nt
Organism: Arachis ipaensis
Lineage: Eukaryota; Viridiplantae; Streptophyta; Magnoliopsida; Fabales; Fabaceae
Source: RefSeq, a predicted model, not a curated record